This is a long non-coding RNA of Eurytemora carolleeae, 1650 nucleotides long. RefSeq lists it as uncharacterized. Lineage: Eukaryota; Metazoa; Arthropoda; Copepoda; Calanoida; Temoridae. The transcript has 2 exons. The record is from RefSeq and is a predicted model, not a curated record.
AUCAGAUGCCGGGACAUUUGUUUAUCAGCCAGUUGAUAUUUUCAAACCAAGUGAUUACAUUCAGCAAUCAUCGUAAAAUAUUCUUUCGGUUUCUUUCACAAACACCAACUAAAAUAAUGCUAAAAACUGUGCAAUAUGCUGUUUUUAUGCUAAAAAUAAUGCAAAAUUUUUUAUGCCUGUAAGAAACAACAUAGUAUAUUUUUUUCAAACCAAUUGAUUAUUUUUUAUAAAUAUCGUAAAAUAUUCUUUUUGUUUGGUUUGUUUCAUAAAUACCGUGGAGCUUUUUGUUUUGAGAAUUUAAUUUACAAGCAUCAAGAUAUCAUUUUUUUUCAAGCAUUGAAUUAUUUAAGAAAUAUUGCAAAAUAUUCCUUUUUUAAACCACAUGAUUUUUAGUCAAGAAACACCUUGGAUUUUUUUUAAAAAACUGCAUUUGUUCAAGGAAAAGCUAAAAUCAUUGUAUACAUAGAAAUAUUUUUUCAGACCAAUUGAUUUUAAUCAAGAAAGUAGAUAGAAUAUUUUUUUUAUGAAAGAAGAAAAUAGUAUUUUUUGUUCUAAACCAAUUGAUUUUAUGCAAGAAGCAACAUGGAUGUUUCUUUUUUAACAUUGUUUAUAUUCAAGGAACAUCAUAGAAUAUUCUUAUUCAAACAAAUUUAUUUUUUGAACCUAACUGUUUUUAUUUAAGAAACUGCAUUCGACUAGUCAAUUUUGUGUCUAUUCAUACUACACUUGCUAGUCGAUGAAACCCUUAUUUCUUAACAUGUUUAAGAGCUUGCUGAGCAUACUGAUAUACAAAAUAAUGAUCAAAAUGAUCAAAAUUUAGAUCUUCUUCUUUCUGUUCAUUAUAUAGAUCUGAAAAGGUCAAAUAUAAAAAUCUUUUUAUUAAUACUUGAAACUUUUCUAUUAAUUGAAAUGUAUAUCGAAUAGAUUAAUCAAAUUAUAUGUUUUGACUUAUUAUGUUAUACUUAAAAGGUGAUUAAUAAUUAAUUUUAAUUAUUUUGUUAAAUAUCAUAUGAUGUAUUAAAAUAAAACUUGAAACUGCAAUUGUGCAAUUUGUAAUAAACCAGUAAUUUUUUUAUUUCACACAAACAUAAGUGCUUUUAAAGUGAUUCGAAGUAAAAAGUUUAUUUAACUGUAUAGGAUGCGACAUUUCAACAUUUAUUCAGAGAUGGACAACGGACAUGUAAUAGGACAUUUCAAAAACUCAGCUUUUCUCAGUAUGCAAUGAAAUUUUCUGUGGAUAAAUAAUUUUUUUUCAGCUACAGCCAACAUGGAAAUGAGCGAAAAGCUUUAUCAUAUAGAUAUAUGUUCCACGUUUGUGAGUGGAAUGGAAGUUAUAUGGGUGCGGUGUGCCACUACCCCUACCCCUAAUAUUUCGUCCAUGGUUUGGGAGAGAAGGCUGUUUUAAUAGGAGAAAAGAUCUGGUUGCAAUGAUAAUUUGUUUCCCCAAUUAAAAACAAGACUAACCUCUUCCGUCCUUCAUUCAUAAUAUUCAAGAAAACCGGUUUUUUCUGCAAGCCGUUUCAUAAUCUUUAAAUGAUUUAAUCUUUUGAAAUCUCUAUUAUGCCUAGCUUAAAUCUCCCAAAUCAUAAAUUGGGAGACAUUUAUUUAACUUAAAUUUUAUCUCAAGAGAAAAUAUAUGUAUGGUUCAAA